This 1434-nucleotide long non-coding RNA is filed under the name Citrus maxima (pomelo). RNAcentral describes it as "long non-coding RNA (CMAX_LNC003489)". Lineage: Eukaryota; Viridiplantae; Streptophyta; Magnoliopsida; Sapindales; Rutaceae. The record is from RNAcentral.
CCAAACAAAAAAAUGAAAUUCUAAAAUUAAUUCUAAAAUCCUUUUGCCUCUCUCUCAGCUUUCACCUAACAGCCAAAGUCAAAGCUUUUGUUUUCUUCUCUCCUCAAUCCGUCUCUCUCUAGUCUUCACACAUCAAAGCAAGUAAAGUCCUAAUCCCUCAAAAUUUCCUUAGAAAUCAUAUAACAUAAUCAUCCUUUAACUUGUUGAGCAAUUGAAUCUCCAAAUGACUUGAGUUUGACAAAAGAAAUUGAUGGGUCCCAAAAACUGGUUUCAUGAAGGUAAUUCAUAAUUUUUGCUUUUGGGUUUUUAAAUUUUUGUUAUAAUUGUUCUUUUGUUUCCAAUUUCUCUCCUAAAAUUAUUGAUAUCAUUAAUUUUUAACUUUUGUGUUGAAUUGUGAAUUUGGAUUUUUUAGAAAAUUAAUUGAAGAUAACCUUUUUUUUUUUUUUGGUUGGAUUUGAGAUGAUAAAAUAAUGCCUCCCAAUUGAAGAAGACCCAACUCCUACACGGCUGCACCUCUAGCUUUUGGCCAACCGCACACUGACUCAGUUUUGUAACCUCACCAAAAACAGAGGUUUGUGUUUUGCCAUUUUCUUCCAAUUGAAGAAGACCCAACUCCUACACGGCUGCACCUCUAGCUUUUGGCCAACCGCACACUGACCCAGUUUUGUAACCUCACCAAAAACAGAGGUUUGUGUUUUGCCAUUUUCUUUUCAUAUUAUUAUUAUUGCUUAUUUGUUUUUCUCUUGCUAUCUUUUUAAAAUUCUAAACUUUUUGUUUUGUGAUUUUUUAGUUACACUAGUUUCUCAGAAUAUAUCAUUGAGUUUUUUCUUUUUAAUUUUGUUUUACUUUUUUUUAGCAUAUUAUUCUUGUAAUCGUAGUACUAGAUAUAUAUUUAAUGGUGGUUACUAUUUUUUCUAAGAGCAAAACACAAUUAUAUUUUUGUUCUGAAUUCAUAUGCAGGCUGUGAAGAUAAAGAAUUUUUGGUGCAGGCCAUGAAGAUCAAGAAUUUUUGGUGCAGUGUUGAAGGCAACUUGAAGAUAUAGUACUAGAUUUGUUUUCCCUAAUUUUUUAUCAUUAGAAAAUAUACAAGUAUGACACAAAUAUACUUAUCAUUGUGUCUAAUUUUUUAAGUAAUUGGAUGUUCACAUAUUAUUACAUAAUUGAAUUAGAUGAACGAUGAAUUGUAUGUAUAAUUAGUAGCCUUUAAAAAUAUUGAGAAUAAAAAAUACAUUACAAGUAUCAAUUUUUCUAUCUUCAAUAAUCUUACAAAGAUGCUAUGGUAGCCACUUAUAAAUUAUCCAGUAGCGUUUUCUAAUAGCCAUAGAAUGUUACAUAUAUGUAAUAAAUUUGCCAACAAUAGCAUUUUUUUGUGCUGUAAAUAUAAUAUGGUAGCACUUUCCGGAUGCUAUACAUAAGAGAAUGAUAGCAUUUCUA